GGCUGGGUAGCUCAGCUGGAUUAGAGCACGCGGCUCAUACCCGCGGAGUCGAGGGUUCAACUCCCUCCCCAGCCACCA
This 78-nucleotide transfer RNA is filed under the name Candidatus Omnitrophota bacterium. RNAcentral's name for it is "tRNA-Met". It matches the Rfam family "tRNA". From Rfam's summary of the family: Transfer RNA (tRNA) molecules are approximately 80 nucleotides in length. The record is from RNAcentral. Lineage: Bacteria; Pseudomonadati; Candidatus Omnitrophota.